CUCAGAGCUUUGUGCCCGCGAAAACUGUCCGGGCAGGCCUGCCUGGGGCUCCUCCUCCCCUGGCGUCUGAUUGGGCUGGGGGUCCUGCCGUCACCGGGAAAACCGCCCCAGCCAGGUCAGCAAACACCGGUGUGGCCAGAGACCUUUCUGGUCUAGAGAAUCUCCAGGGCAAGACAUCAUGGUAACAAGGCGGCUCCUCGCAGCUGUGGCACCAGGGAGGUGAGUGUACAAACUGCUGUCCAGGGGACAGGCUUCAGACCCGAGCACAGUCAGCACCUCCCACUGCCACCUCCGCCUGUGACUCCCAUGCUGGCUUCGGCCCUCCCACCGGCUCCUUUGAAGACUGUGCUGCAGACCUUUGGCCCACUGGGUCCCAAGUCCAUCUCCAUGCAGCCCGGCAGGAGGCCUGUGGCCCUGAGCUGGAUGGCAGUGCUUCCGCAGUGAGCACUGGGGAUCCCAGUGUCCCCCUGGCUGGCUGUGGUGGUGGUGCUGUGCUUUGUCCUCUGCCUUCCCUCCUCUCUGGAGAACCAUUCCUUGAACUUGGCCCCUGCUCCCAGGAACUGGGCUCCCUGUGUGUCCUCCCACAUCAGCCAUCAUCCCAGCUGAGCAGCCUUGACUUACCAGGUGGACCACUCAGGACACUAAAUGCUACCACUGUGGGAGCUUCCUGCCCUGGCCACGUGAGGCCCCGGGAUGUUGACAGCAGCUUGGAUGCAGCCUUUGCCUGCCAUGCGGCCUUUCAGACACGAGACGGUGGGCCUGCCCCCCAGGGCCAGCUCUCCGUUCAGGUAUUUCUGCCCUUUUUCGGCUGUGAAAGCAGAUCCGCCCCAAAGCAAGAAGUUCCUGGUGAAAUAUGCGUAAAAAAAGAACCUCAAAACUGGCAAAACUUCCACGUUCCUGAGCUCCAGGGAGGAACAGAGAUCAAGAAGGAAGGGAAGAGAAAGGCCGUGGACCCCUGCCCCGAGCUCGGAGUUCACUGCCUCCUGGCUGCUUGCGCACAAACUCCAGCCACCUGUCAGCAAAGUCGGAAGCCGGAGGUCCUCCCCUUGACCAGAGCCCCUACAGGAUCCAGGCCCAGCCACAGGGCGAGGCUGACGCUGCGGACUCCACGGACGGGGAUUUCCAAGGCCUGAGGACAGCCGUCCCUCGGGGUGAGCUCCCGGCGCCCCGGCCCCACUGCCCACAGCGAUCUCGGCACUAGGCGGCCCUGCUGUCAGGUACGUCCAACACAACCUGCGAGCUCCCUGUGGGCCCGCGUGGCCUGUGUCCCUGCAGCCUCACCCACGCAGCGUUCUGGUCCUGUUUGUCUUUAGUGUCCUGCCUCUUGGUGUUACUGCGUGUUUGUUUCCUGGAGAGCUUCAGCACUGGGGGUGCUGCUCUCCUCAUGCCCCCCUGGUGGACCGAGGUGGCCAUGGGCUACAAACGCCUGUGCACAGCGGGUGGCCUUGAGCCUGUGCUGGGGCGGACGCUUUCCCCAGUCUAGUGUUUCCGACUGUUAUUUUUAGUCCUAGAAAUGCAGCUUUCCAACUAGUCAAAUUUGUUGAACUUUUACUUGAUUAUAUUUUCACAUCCUUCAGUCCGUGGAAAGCAAGUGUGGUCUACAUUUGGGGUAGAUGUUCUCUUUUGUUCUCUCCUCGCUUUCCCGGGGCUUGCUUUUCACGCGGUGUUCUCUUAACCCAGACGCCUGUUGCGCUGGUCCCCACGUUUCUUCCCAGAUGCCCUGGGCAUCCGUCAGUGCUUCCUUGUCCUGCUGCCUCUGGAUCUUGUUUUCUCCUGCAAUAACCAUCUGUUCUGACCUGUUCACUGCAUUCAGCUGCUCUCCCCACAGUCAAGAGUCCCCAGGGAGGUGCCACUGCCUCAAGGGAGAGACCAUCUCCCAGCUCAAGGUCUGGCCCAGGCCUGCAGAGCCAGAGACCCAGCUGGUCACUGCCUCUGGAUGUGUCUCUUGGGGGCCACCUCAUCUUAACCAAACUUGUAAGAGACCAACACACAAAUCAGAAAAGGAAUGUGCUAACUUAGGAUGGGCAUGACCCCUUGCUUCAGCAAAAUACCGUGUCCCUCAAUAGACACCCCCUCUCUGAGCCUGGAUACAGGUUCCCCUGCUAUCCAAAAGCAGAGCGUUCCUGUGACACCUUCCAAGGCCGAAAUGGCAUAAGGCGAAGAGGCACUUAGUUACCUUGUUAGGACACGUGUUGCUCACGGCGCACAAGGCAAAUCGAGACGAAGCGCAGACGCCCCCAGACGCGGUUCGCAGCCUGGCUGCUUGGUGCUGAGUGUAGUCCCUUAGGAGCCCGGCAGGGGCCGCUCUCGCUGCCUCGGUUGCAGCUGCUGCAGAACAAAUGCUGAGCGCUGUUUUCACUUUUUGCCUUUAUUCAAAACAAGCUAAAAUCCUGUUUGGAUUUGUUGGAAAACAGGUACUAAUGUAGGUCUCUUGUAAAAGCAAAGUGGUGUAAAGAGAACUUUCAAAAAGCAGGGGACAUUUUUACCUGGGAAACAAAGUUAGGCCCUGUCGUUGCUUCAUGCCUACAGUGUGACGUGACCUUGCCUGCCCCCAGACCCUGUCAGCACCCCGUUCAGGUCCCGAGCUCUGACGCGCUCUGUCAGUCCUUCCCUCUGUGCCCCUGCUCACUUUGCCUCUGUUAGAGCAGAUGUUCUCACGAGGGGCGAUUCUGCCCUCAGGAGGUGACGUUGGCAACACCUGGGGACAUUUUUUUGGUUGUCCCAACUGAGGGGAGGUACUAUUGUCAGUUGCGGGGGGCAGGGAAGCUGUUCAGCGUCCUAAAGAGCCCAGGAUGCUGAGGGUGGGGACCCGAGUUAGAUCCGUGACUUAGGCGAAGGGCCAAAGAGAAGAUUCACGAGGCCGGAGAGAGAAGAGUAAGCGCUGUCGGCUGGAGGUUUCAGAAGCUGGAAAAUGAGGAAAAGCAGCUUUCGGCAGAAGCCUACACACUUGACAAGGUGCACGUCCAGGCUGAGAAGGCUGGCAGGGCCUGGGGAUGGGGGCGCGGGUAACCCUGACAGUGGGGCAGAGGUGGGAAGAAAAAUUGUGAUUGGCUAAAA
This 3057-nucleotide long non-coding RNA is filed under the name Monodon monoceros (narwhal). RNAcentral describes it as "lncRNA (ENSMMNG00015019381.1)". Lineage: Eukaryota; Metazoa; Chordata; Mammalia; Artiodactyla; Monodontidae. The record is from RNAcentral.